RNAcentral lists this ribosomal RNA (252 nucleotides) under uncultured bacterium. RNAcentral's name for it is "partial 16S ribosomal RNA". It matches the Rfam family "Bacterial small subunit ribosomal RNA", at positions 524 to 776 of the family's 1533-position model. The record is from RNAcentral.
UACGUAGGUCCCGAGCGUUGUCCGGAUUUAUUGGGCGUAAAGCGAGCGCAGGUGGUUUAUUAAGUCUGGUGUAAAAGGCAGUGGCUCAACCAUUGUAUGCAUUGGAAACUGGUAGACUUGAGUGCAGGAGAGGAGAGUGGAAUUCCAUGUGUAGCGAUGAAAUGCGUAGAUAUAUGGAGGAACACCGGUGGCAAAAGCGGCUCUCUGGCCUGUAACUGACACUGAGGCUCGAAAGCGUGGGGAGCAAACAGG